GGUUCGACCCGAGCGAAGCGAGAGAACGUUGCGCGAGCAACGGCCCGCAGGGCGAGCCACGUAGUGGUGAGUCAUCCUCUAUCACCGACCA
Molecule: small RNA, 91 nt
Filed under: Salmonella enterica
Lineage: Bacteria; Pseudomonadati; Pseudomonadota; Gammaproteobacteria; Enterobacterales; Enterobacteriaceae
Also listed under: 1 other name
Description: partial RtT sRNA
Rfam family: RtT RNA
About the family: This family represents a bacterial cis-regulatory element known as RtT RNA.
Source: RNAcentral